Molecule: small RNA, 181 nt
Filed under: Gordonia rhizosphera
Lineage: Bacteria; Bacillati; Actinomycetota; Actinomycetes; Mycobacteriales; Gordoniaceae
Also listed under: 1 other name
Description: c-di-AMP sequence
Rfam family: c-di-AMP riboswitch aptamer (ydaO/yuaA leader)
About the family: This family represents a conserved RNA structure found upstream of the ydaO and yuaA genes in Bacillus subtilis and related genes in other bacteria.
Source: RNAcentral
CAUCGGUCACCGCCUAAUCGCCCAGUAGGGCGUACCGGGGAACCAUCCGUUUCGGAUCUCCGAAUUGGGGUGAAUCGCGUUGUGCUCGGCCUCGUGCUGAACGCUGCCGUGUGCAUCGCGUAGGGCCAUUCUUCCGGCCCGAACCCGACAGCUAACCCGGUCGGCGGUCGAGGGAGAGCAA